Micropterus salmoides (largemouth bass) is the source of this 1494-nucleotide long non-coding RNA. RefSeq lists it as uncharacterized. The record is from RefSeq and is a predicted model, not a curated record. The transcript has 3 exons. Lineage: Eukaryota; Metazoa; Chordata; Actinopteri; Centrarchiformes; Centrarchidae.
UAUAUUGUCGCUAGCUUUACUUCCUGUUUUAUUUUGUAGUGAUUAGUUUCAUGUGUUUUUGUCUAGCUUUGUUUCCUGUCUGAUUGAUUGCUUAUGUGUCUCACCUGUGUUAAUUGUCCUGCCUUCUUGUGUGUGUGUGAAUAUAUUGCCCUCAUUUCUGUUCAGUCCUUGUGGUGUCAUCAUCUUAUGUUGGGUGUUCUGCUGCAUGCUCUGUUUACCAGGAUUUUUUUGGAUUAUUCCCUUGUGUUGGAUUCCCUUGCCUUUUUGUUGGAUUUAACCUGUGUUUGGACUUUGUACUCUGCCUUGUUGGAAUUAUCCUUUUGUUUGGACUCUUGCCUUGAGAUAAGUAGUAAGCCUGUUUUGUUUGGUCAAAAUAAAUCUUCAUUUGAAAUGCAACCUCUUGGCCCGUGUCUGCAUUUUGGAUCCACACUCCUGUUUCCCUGUCACUCAGCCUACGUGAUACACAUAUUGAGCUCUGCAUGGUCAGGUGCCUGGGUACAGCUCCACCCUCAUAUGACCACUAGUGACUGAGGAGUUUGUUUACUCCUUGCUCAGGAGGAGCACCAUCAGGAAGGAGCCCAGGUGUUAUAAACUUGUGUUCAUCGCAGCCUUCAAACUGUCCCUGACCACACGCAAAGACUCGGUGUGCAACAAGACAUCUCUGUUUGGUCCUAUCUUCCAGAAGCACAAGAUCACCUGCUUCACAACAGCGGAACCGCUCAGUUGAUGGUGCUGUGAACAUGGGCCACAACAUCAUGAACAUGACAUCCCUGGCUGCUACAUUUAGGGAAUUUCGACGCAGUCAUGUGACACAGCGAGUUCCCACAGUACCUCGGCUUCACUCCAAUACACAAAUGACUGCAGCUCCAGUAAUUCCCUACAGGGCUCUCCCACUGCGAAUCACUUGAUCAGUUGCUUUGUUAUGAGCUGAUUCUUGUUGUGAGCAGUGUAAAUGUCUCUGUCUACAGUGUGUAAUAUUGUGGCCUGCAGCAACAGACGUUUGAACGUGCAAAUCUGGAAAUUUCACAUUUCUAUCAUAACAUUUUAGCCUAUUUUAACAAGUCAAUAAAGGUGCCACUAACUGAAAAUGGGUUGUUCAUUCGUCUUUAAAAUACAAGUUGGGAUUUCUGAAAAGGUACAAGCAACUUCUCAUCCAUUUCACACUUCCAAAGGAUGAAACUGCUAUUCUUAAAUAAAUAUGAAAACAUGUAAUCAUACUGAUUGUAAUUUUAAUCUGUGGUUAGUUUUUUAACAUUUCCACUCGUCCACUCAUCAGCCAUGAUUUUGUGUUUUUUCUACUCUGUGGAAAACAGCCCAGCCUGCUGUGUGAACGCAGGCUUAUUCAGACGGCUGAAGUGUUCUGAUUACGCCACAACAAGAGCACAUAAUUAAAGAAAAUGGCUCAAUCCACCAAGUUUAUAGCGAUUUAUAGCUUAAAAUACUGCAGCUGUGAAAAUAUUAUUUGGAAUAAACUGACCAAUUAAUUUGCACUUU